CCCAGUAUUUCUAUGCAAAUUCCGGGCCAGGUUCGGCCUUCCUAGCAAAUUGCAUAAUUUAUGAAGAAAAAAGGUAACAAUGAUUUUUUUGCUCCCCACGCUUGUUAUUCUGAAUUGCAUGUCAUCUGACGCAUUUUGAGAUGUUCUGCCAACAGUAUAUACUUAUGUGUUUUCUCUUGAAAUACAGGUAACUCCUGGUAUUUGUUGGUUGCAAUUCCUCUGACAGUUACAACACAUGGCAAUGAUACCUCUGCACAUUGUCGAAUAAAAAAUAUAGAGAUGAUAUUCAUUGACGCCAGGCUUCAAAAUUCAGCUCUUUUAUUUCUGCCAUGGUGUACCUUUCUGCUUGGUUCAGUUUUGCCUGAUCUACUUCCAGAUGUAUACUACACUUAGUUUGUUCAUGCAUUAGAAGCAGGCUUUCAGCAAUGGAAUAGCGGGUGGAUGAGAAGCUCCACAACCUGCACAUUGUGAUGGAGAAUCACUGCUGAAGGUGAUAUUGCAUGCUAAAGGUGAUAUUGCAGGCACCAUCAUGGCCACAUCGAAGGUCCUAAGCUCUAGGUGAUGGAGAAUCACUGCUGAAGGUGAUAUUGCAUGCUAAAGGUGAUAUUGCAGGCACCAUCAUGGCCACAUCGAAGGUCCUAAGCUCUAGGUGAGAAGAACGCAAAUAACUCUACACUGCAGGAUAAGAUGGAACAACAAGCUGGGUUUUUUUUUCCGUCGCUGAACAGCCACCAUGUUGCAGGAGAUUAUCAACUCACUUUUUGUUUACAGGAAAAUUUAUUGACACUCAAGAGUCAAGACAAAUGCAACAAAUUUUUGAAGUUGUGUUCUACCACUUCCCACAAUAAAUAAAAGAAAUUAUAGAAAGAAGUUUGCAGCUGUAGGGGCGAUGUCUUUCAGGUUGUGUGGAAUCCAAAUUUGGAGACUGUUGGCCUUCCAUGCUGCGGACAAAAGGGUGAUGAGAUGGGACGUUAGUAGGUCUUCAUAUAGAUCAACAUUCAGCAUGUACAAUCUUACAUUUCAUUGGUGGAACCAACCCAGUCAGAGAGCCUAGGAAAAAUAGCAAGUCUCGUGACCCGCGGCGUUUUGCUUGCAGAGGCUUGUCCAAGUUGAAGAAUAAAGUAUGGAAACCAAAGCAUACAUUCACAGAAACUGGGAUAUAAGUGCUUGCGUUCGUAUGAUCCUGUUAAUUGCUUUAUAAUUAUUUUAUUCAAGGCAUCUAACCCUCCUACCAGAAAAUGACUAUCCCAACCGCAUCACUAUGUGAUCGAAAGAACCUUUCAAUUGCCCCAACCUCUAACUAUUUGAUCCUUUUGAUAGGUCUAUAACUCUAUAUCCACAAUGGGUACCAAUCUUUUUGUCAACGUUUUGGUUUCCUGGCCUAUAAAGUGAUAUGCAUGUUCGUUAGGCAUGAAGUAGAUGCUCAAGAUAUAUUUAGAACAUCUUUGGUAAUGUGCAAUGUGUCCAUUCCAGGAGGUACUGCAGAUAUCUAUCCAUGUAGCUCGAUGAACUGUGGUACUUAGUUAACAGCGACACCCAUCAGUUAGGUUAUAAAAUCCUUAGUUAUUGGAGCCAUUCAUAUGCGUUUAUCAGCGCAGGAAGGAAGAAGGUUUUCUUGUGUUACUUUAUGACUUUUCCCUUUGACCAUCGAAUGGUACCUAUAUUGUAUAUGCUGGUGUAUAAUACUUGUUCCGGUAUAUGUUUGUUCUUCGCACACAGUGCAGAUAGAGCUAAAUCUGGACAAACUUUGCAGUAAUAAAACCUUAUUGCAUGAUGCUUUGAAAAAUAAAAAUAUUGUAACGAUUAGUUUGUGAGUUAUCCAUAUUGCUUCACCCACUCGUUCGAAAGGUUUGUAUCCAUAGGUUUUGUAACAAUAUAUGGUUAUGAUAUAUACAGGUUUUAUGUACUUA
Lolium rigidum is the source of this 1910-nucleotide long non-coding RNA. RefSeq lists it as uncharacterized. The transcript is spliced from 11 exons. NCBI's taxonomy places the organism in Eukaryota, Viridiplantae, Streptophyta, Magnoliopsida, Poales, Poaceae. The record is from RefSeq and is a predicted model, not a curated record.